CUAUUUCAAAGCGUCACCUGGUCUGUGGUAACUGUUGAAUCACAGUCUGAGCCACUGAUUAUCACCUAGGGAAGGGACCUGGUCAGCCCUGGUUAGUGCAGGUGAGGGCAAUGCAGCUGAGUGACUGGAAGGGAUGGAGCCUGGCUGCACCUCUCUUACAGCUCAUUUUUGAAGGCUGACUGCCACUAGAGAAGGAUAUCUGGUUGAGGAUCCCUCCCUUGUGAGUUUUCCUUGUGAGUCUUGAUCUUUGGAGAUAGGUGAGCACUUUUCCUUUCUAACACCUUUCCAUUCAAGCUAGUCCCUUUGCUACUACGCUCCUGUAUCAUCUUUCCACCACGCUGACCUUUCUGAUAGUUAUACCCAGCGAAGAUCACAAGUUAUCCCAAUGAAAAGCCCACACAUAGACUUUUUCCUGGAUACAGUUUCAUCUUGCAGCCUUGAAUGUACAAAGAUGCAGACUUGCUGAGGUGAAUGUUACAUGUUUCUUAUCUAAGGUCAGUGCUUGGUUUCAGCAUACUUCCUGUUAUGUGUGAUGCUCGGUUACUAACGUGAAUCAUUGGGAUAGCUGCUAUUGAGCUCAUGCAACUUUCAUAACAUCACGGAACUUCUAUUCAAUAUGUCAUAAUGGCAGGAUCGAAUAAGCCUCUGGGCCAGUGAUUCCCCUUGGUCUGGGAGGUGGCUGGGAAGCAGAUUUUGCCCUGCUCAUUUCUGAAGUGCAUGGUUACCGGCCCUGGCUUCAGAGCAAGGAGAAGAUGGUUAAGAACAACAACAAGGACUUGAAUGGCUGUGAGAAGUUUCUUACAGCACCAGCAAAGAGCUAAGAAUCAACUUUUAAAGUCUGCCUACAGAGAAAGGUCAGAAAGUUGGGUUAAGGCUGUGCAUGGGAGCAGCACUUUGCGCAUGGUUACAUCGUAGACCAGAGAACCAGGGAUCCAAACAGUUCAUCUCUCCUUCAGCCAGCUGGCUGGGACAUGUCAGCUGCUCUGAAACUCAGCUCACAGCCUCAUAAAACGAUGUUAAUAGUGGUGUUUGCUGGGCUGCAAGCUGAGCCUGAUUCUAGAUCUGCUGGAAAUGCCAGGCAGGGGAUGCCUCCACGCUUCCAUAUUGCUGCAUUUGGAUUGGCUUCUCCAAGAGCUGCAAAUAAACAAGUUGAUGGCCUGAUUUUAUCAGCCACACAGGAAGGUGAAUAUAAAAGAACCAAGGAAAAAAAAAAAAAAAAAAAAAAAGAGGAAGAAGAAAGAGGAAAGGGGAUUCAAAUUAACAGCGAUCCCAAUUCCCUGAGUUUCAGUUAAACAAUCUCAUUAAUCCUGUCUGCAGUGCAUGUACUAUGCCUGUGCUCCCCGCUCUGACAGGUCCCCAAAUCACAUUCACUGC
RNAcentral lists this long non-coding RNA (1374 nucleotides) under Coturnix japonica (Japanese quail). Its description in RNAcentral is "lncRNA (ENSCJPG00005007130.1)". Lineage: Eukaryota; Metazoa; Chordata; Aves; Galliformes; Phasianidae. The record is from RNAcentral.